GCAAACUUGGUCAUUUAGAGGAAGUAAAAGUCGUAACAAGGUCUCCGUAGGUGAGUGCUAAAUCCAAACCCUUUUAUUAAAUUUUUAAUGAGAAAUCAAUGCUAACUGUUCUAAUUUAGGUGAACCUGCGGAGGGAUCAUUACCGAGUGAGGGCGUCAGCGCCCGACCUCCAACCCUUUGUUGAUUAUCCUGUUGCCUCGGGGGCGACCCGGCCUUUGGGCGUUGGGGCCCCCGGUGGACCACUUAAACUCUGCGUUUUUUGCGUCCGAGUAUUUGAAACAAAUUGAUUAAAACUUUCAACAACGGAUCUCUUGGUUCUGGCAUCGAUGAAGAACGCAGC
This 340-nucleotide unclassified non-coding RNA is filed under the name uncultured fungus. RNAcentral's name for it is "partial contains small subunit ribosomal RNA, internal transcribed spacer 1, and 5.8S ribosomal RNA". The stretch from base 1 to 142 matches the Rfam family "Eukaryotic small subunit ribosomal RNA", at positions 1759 to 1831 of the family's 1831-position model. Lineage: Eukaryota; Fungi. The record is from RNAcentral.